GACGAACGCUGGCGGCGUGCCUAAUACAUGCAAGUCGAGCGAGCGGAACUAACAGAUUUACUUCGGUAAUGACGUUAGGAAAGCGAGCGGCGGAUGGGUGAGUAACACGUGGGGAACCUGCCCCAUAGUCUGGGAUACCACUUGGAAACAGGUGCUAAUACCGGAUAAGAAAGCAGAUCGCAUGAUCAGCUUUUAAAAGGCGGCGUAAGCUGUCGCUAUGGGAUGGCCCCGCGGUGCAUUAGCUAGUUGGUAAGGUAGAGGCUUACCAAGGCGAUGAUGCAUAGCCGAGUUGAGAGACUGAUCGGCCACAUUGGGACUGAGACACGGCCCAAACUCCUACGGGAGGCAGCAGUAGGGAAUCUUCCACAAUGGACGCAAGUCUGAUGGAGCAACGCCGCGUGAGUGAAGAAGGUUUUCGGAUCGUAAAGCUCUGUUGUUGGUGAAGAAGGAUAGAGGUAGUAACUGGCCUUUAUUUGACGGUAAUCAACCAGAAAGUCACGGCUAACUACGUGCCAGCAGCCGCGGUAAUACGUAGGUGGCAAGCGUUGUCCGGAUUUAUUGGGCGUAAAGCGAGCGCAGGCGGAAGAAUAAGUCUGAUGUGAAAGCCCCUCGGCUUAACCGAGGAACUGCAUCGGAAACUGUUUUUCUUGAGUGCAGAAGAGGAGAGUGGAACUCCAUGUGUAGCGGUGGAAUGCGUAGAUAUAUGGAAGAACACCAGUGGCGAAGGCGGCUCUCUGGUCUGCAACUGACGCUGAGGCUCGAAAGCAUGGGUAGCGAACAGGAUUAGAUACCCUGGUAGUCCAUGCCGUAAACGAUGAGUGCUAAGUGUUGGGAGGUUUCCGCCUCUCAGUGCUGCAGCUAACGCAUUAAGCACUCCGCCUGGGGAGUACGACCGCAAGGUUGAAACUCAAAGGAAUUGACGGGGGCCCGCACAAGCGGUGGAGCAUGUGGUUUAAUUCGAAGCAACGCGAAGAACCUUACCAGGUCUUGACAUCUAGUGCCAUUUGUAGAGAUACAAAGUUCCCUUCGGGGACGCUAAGACAGGUGGUGCAUGGCUGUCGUCAGCUCGUGUCGUGAGAUGUUGGGUUAAGUCCCGCAACGAGCGCAACCCUUGUUAUUAGUUGCCAGCAUUGAGUUGGGCACUCUAAUGAGACUGCCGGUGACAAACCGGAGGAAGGUGGGGAUGACGUCAAGUCAUCAUGCCCCUUAUGACCUGGGCUACACACGUGCUACAAUGGGCAGUACAACGAGAAGCGAGCCUGCGAAGGCAAGCGAAUCUCUGAAAGCUGUUCUCAGUUCGGACUGCAGUCUGCAACUCGACUGCACGAAGCUGGAAUCGCUAGUAAUCGCGGAUCAGCACGCCGCGGUGAAUACGUUCCCGGGCCU
RNAcentral lists this ribosomal RNA (1386 nucleotides) under uncultured bacterium. RNAcentral describes it as "bacterial SSU rRNA". It matches the Rfam family "Bacterial small subunit ribosomal RNA", at positions 28 to 1381 of the family's 1533-position model. The record is from RNAcentral.